Arvicola amphibius (Eurasian water vole) is the source of this 495-nucleotide long non-coding RNA. RefSeq lists it as uncharacterized. The transcript has 3 exons. Lineage: Eukaryota; Metazoa; Chordata; Mammalia; Rodentia; Cricetidae. The record is from RefSeq and is a predicted model, not a curated record.
CUUUCUGGAAGGCCCAGCAUCCAGGACUCUCUCCCUAGUUUGCCUCCACAGGAGACAAAAGGGUGAAACGGCUCUGUAAGAACCAGGUUGAAUAGCUGCUUCCGGAAGCCCCUUGCAGAAAGUCCACAGCUGCUGUCAUGGGUCUCUGGAGAGGGAGGAGCUGUAAGAGGUGAAGAAGAAGUAGGUUGAGAACUUUGUUCUAGCAUGUGCCCCAGGAUAAGGUCAGUGGCAGCAUAGGUUCCAGAGCCUGAGUCCAGACCACAUGACUCCAAAGCCCCUAAAAUGGUCAGUCAGACCAUCCUUUCCUCCUCCAAGCUGGCUAUCUUAGGUAAUUAGAUAUUUUGUGUGGGGGCAGAAAGCUGAUUAAUGCAUAUCACUAGACAUGUUCCUCUGUCCGCAUCUAGCAAGUGAGCACAAAAUCUGCCUUUUAAACUCGACAAGGAGAGUGAACAGAACAACAUAGUGUUGUAAUCUGCUGGCCUGGUCUGUCACCUG